This 746-nucleotide long non-coding RNA is filed under the name Mus musculus (house mouse). RNAcentral's name for it is "predicted gene, 47728". Lineage: Eukaryota; Metazoa; Chordata; Mammalia; Rodentia; Muridae. The record is from RNAcentral.
CUCUGCAUCAGCUCCUGCUCCCUGACCUGCUUGAGUUCCAGUCCUGACUUCCUUUAGUGAUGAACAGCAGCAUGGAAGUUCUUACAAACUUUAAAAAGAAAUCCUGCUGGACUCUGAGGUCAGAACUGCUGGACUCUGAGGUCAGAACUGCUGGACUCUGAGGGUUCUAGGUGAGUGGAGGCUUUUAGACAGAAGCGUCAGCUACAGCCACAGCAUCCUGGAUGAGCCCCAUCUUCUCUGAUCCUGGAAGACACAGCUCUGCUGACAGGCUUCAUCUGCUGCUGGGCUACAAAGGAGAAGACCUGAAGCUCCCCUAUCACACUGCGAGGGAGGAAGCUUUGGAGGAUAUAUCCUAAGACUCCAAAGUAAUGAUGGACAUGUACCUAAGACUGGGUAAAUAUUAUUUAGGUGAUGGACACCAAUGGCUGAGUCAUCUUCGGCUGUGAGGACGGACUGGCACAGCAUAGUCCACACAACUGAGAAGCCAUGGAGAUUUAUUUCCCCCAGUUCUGAAGCUGAAGAGUUCAAAGUCAAGGUGUGCAGAUAUGGGACUGCUUCACAGCAGCUGCGAUUGGCCUCGUGCCCUAGCAGAGGCGUGGUUCUGCCAGCUGCCGAUGCUCUAGGUUGCACCAAUAUCCUCGGGCAUGGCUGGCUCAAGGCUCAAACAGUUGGGAUCUCGGCAGAAAUGGCCUGGCUUUCUGUUGCUCUGUCUCCUCAUCAGUUCUAGAAAGAUCCUGAUUGGCUCU